GGGGAUGAAUGGUCUCGACGGGGAGGGCAGCCCAGGGGCUGCAGGCAGAGGCGCCCGACCUCUUAAAAACGGGCACAUAAAGAUAACUGGCGAACCUCAACUCGCCCUCGCCGCCUAAUCGCGGCGACGUCUGCCAGCACCCCACCCCGGCGGGUGCUGAGCAGGCGACACAAAGCCGGGGUGCCGUUGGGCUGGUGCCGCGAGGCCCAACGAAAGAUCGAGCGGCUGGCGGCGUGGUAGCCUUGCCCGGUUGGGCAGCCACGACCGCGACUAUCAAACAACCGGGCUAAGCCUGUAGAUGCCUCUGGGUCAACUCUCCGGACGCGGGUUCGAUUCCCGCCAUCUCCACCU
This is a non-coding RNA of Ardenticatena maritima, 351 nucleotides long. It matches the Rfam family "transfer-messenger RNA". From Rfam's summary of the family: Bacterial tmRNA, also known as 10Sa RNA or SsrA, is named for its dual tRNA and mRNA-like properties. Its role is to liberate the mRNA from a stalled ribosome. To accomplish this part of the tmRNA is used as a reading frame that ends in a translation stop signal. The record is from Rfam. Lineage: Bacteria; Bacillati; Chloroflexota; Ardenticatenia; Ardenticatenales; Ardenticatenaceae.